AGAGCGAACGCUGGCGGCAGGCCUAACACAUGCAAGUCGAACGGACUCUUCGGAGUUAGUGGCGGACGGGUGAGUAACACGUGGGAACGUGCCUUUAGGUUCGGAAUAGCUCCUGGAAACGGGUGGUAAUGCCGAAUGUGCCCUUCGGGGGAAAGAUUUAUCGCCUUUAGAGCGGCCCGCGUCUGAUUAACUAGUUGGUGAGGUAAAGGCUCACCAAGGCUACGAUCAGUAGCUGGUCUGAGAGGAUGACCAGCCACAUUGGGACUGAGACACGGCCCAAACUCCUACGGGAGGCAGCAGUGGGGAAUCUUGCGCAAUGGGCGAAAGCCUGACGCAGCCAUGCCGCGUGAAUGAUGAAGGUCUUAGGAUUGUAAAUUCUUUCAGUAGGGACGAUAAUGACGGUACCUACAGAAGAACGCCCGGCUAACUUCGUGCCAGCAGCCGC
RNAcentral lists this ribosomal RNA (445 nucleotides) under uncultured soil bacterium. RNAcentral's name for it is "bacterial SSU rRNA". It matches the Rfam family "Bacterial small subunit ribosomal RNA", at positions 26 to 518 of the family's 1533-position model. The record is from RNAcentral.